UCGGCACUCCAGAAGUAUGUGUAGUGUACCAAUAUGGAGUAACUAAUUUUGUUUGCCUACUUUACAUCAAGUUGUGUGAAGGGACUGAAACCUAUGGACGGGGUGCGUUUAUUCACUUCGAUAACACAGACAGUCCCGAAACUUGUAAUAGAACUAAAAUAAGGAAAAUCAUAAUGAAAUUAUGCUCUAACUUGGUACACAUACUACGGGAGUACCCAAUAUUCUUUAUAACUCUAAUCAGAUACUAAGCUUGUGGUAAUACAUGGAGAUACCUGAAAAAUUCAAGACAUUCUCAGGGGCUCCUGAAGUAUACGCACCAAGAUGUCGCAUAACCUAACCCUGUUCAGGUUGUGCGCCAUCUUGGUGAAUACAUCCUGAAAUUCUUAAAUGACACAGACAAUUAGAUUUACUAAUCACAUUCACAGUUUUUUAUGAAUUUAGUGCCACUUUUGGGUUAAAAUAUGAACACCUAGAAGAGGACUGCAUCUUAUAUGAAUAUUCAAUGAAAUACUGUAUUUUUUGGCUGACAACUCUACACCCAGCAAAUAUGUUGAUCAUGAUUUCAACCAGGGCAUCUUUGUUUAUUUCGGUAGAAUCGUCAUCACGCAAAGAAAUAACUAUUAACAAUAAAGCGGGUGAAUGAUAAAGAUGUUCCUGAAAUUUUCAAUAUUGAUUUUAGUUCGUCAUCAAGGAAAAACACAAAAUAUCUAUUCUAACAGUCAUUGUUUUGACCAAAACCAUUUACUUCCCUAACAAUAGCCAAUGACAACAAAUUAAAGGUAGCGUUACAAUUGGAAUUUUUGCACUUGUUCAAACAUAUUUUCCACUUAUUUGUAAAUCACAUAGUUCAGUAGUCUACUUUGCUCUGGAAGAGUUUUAGCUGAGGUAGAUCAUAAGUGGUUUUGUAGACUGAAAUAACCACCUUGUGCAAAAUAAAAAAAUAUUUUGAGUGUGUGAUAUUAUGCACACGAAUCACAAAAUAUAUUUACAUAACAUUUUCAAUUCAGUAGUCGACUGAAUGGACUAAAAAACUAAAACUGGACAACAAAUUAAAGGUAGUGUAACAAUUGGAAUUUUUGCACUUGUUCAAACAUAUUUUCCACCUAUAGUGAUUGAACCUACAA
Non-coding RNA from Styela clava, 1124 nucleotides. The record is from RefSeq and is a predicted model, not a curated record. NCBI's taxonomy places the organism in Eukaryota, Metazoa, Chordata, Ascidiacea, Stolidobranchia, Styelidae.